RNAcentral lists this ribosomal RNA (909 nucleotides) under uncultured bacterium. Its description in RNAcentral is "bacterial SSU rRNA". It matches the Rfam family "Bacterial small subunit ribosomal RNA", at positions 8 to 918 of the family's 1533-position model. The record is from RNAcentral.
AGAGUUUGAUCAUGGCUCAGGACGAACGCUGGCGGCGUGCUUAACACAUGCAAGUCGAACGGAAGUUACGAGGAAGCCUAGCGAAUUGUAACUUUAGUGGCGGACGGGUGAGUAACGCGUGGAUAACCUGCCUACAUGACCGGGACAACACCGGGAAACUGGUGCUAAUACCGGAUACGCUCACGAAUGCACAUGCAUAUGUGAGGAAAGGAGCAAUCCGCAGGUAGAUGGGUCCGCGUCCCAUUAGCUGGUUGGGGGUGUAAAAGACCACCAAGGCGACGAUGGGUAGCCGGCCUGAGAGGGUGGACGGCCACACUGGAACUGAGACACGGUCCAGACUCCUACGGGAGGCAGCAGUGGGGAAUCUUCCGCAAUGGGCGCAAGCCUGACGGAGCAACGCCGCGUGAGUGAAGAAGGCUUUCGGGUUGUAAAACUCUGUCUUCAGGGAAGAAAGAAAUGACGGUACCUGAGGAGGAAGCCCCGGCUAACUACGUGCCAGCAGCCGCGGUAAAACGUAGGGGGCGAGCGUUGUCCGGAAUUACUGGGCGUAAAGGGCGCGUAGGCGGUUUCUUAAGUCAGAGGUGAAAACUGUGGGCUCAACCCACAGCCUGCCUUUGAAACUGGGAGACUUGAGGGCAGGAGAGGGGAGUGGAAUUCCCAGUGUAGCGGUGAAAUGCGUAGAUAUUGGGAGGAACACCAGUGGCGAAGGCGGCUCUCUGGCCUGUUUCUGACGCUGAGGCGCGAAAGCGUGGGGAGCAAACGGGAUUAGAUACCCCGGUAGUCCACGCCGUAAACGAUGGGUGCUAGGUGUAGGAGGUAUCGACCCCUUCUGUGCCGUAGUUAACACAAUUAAGCACCCCGCCUGGGGGAGUACGGCCGCAAGGUUGAAACUCAAAGGAAUUGACGGAA